This 208-nucleotide long non-coding RNA is filed under the name Carica papaya (papaya). RNAcentral's name for it is "long non-coding RNA (CPAP_LNC004836)". Lineage: Eukaryota; Viridiplantae; Streptophyta; Magnoliopsida; Brassicales; Caricaceae. The record is from RNAcentral.
AUCAUAUUUUAAAAACAUAAAGCGAAAUAAUAUUUAUAUCAACAUAAAACUUUAACAAAUACUUAGCAAAUACGAAAGACAAAUUAAACACUUAUACAUUUUUAUACUAAAAAUACAUAAAGUCCUUCAAAGCUACAUAGGCUAAUGAAUCCAUAAUAUCCACUUAUCUUAGGUCCUUAGUAGUCGUAUUUCAAACCUUUCAAUUUCC